AGCCAUUUACGACUAGUUUAUACCCAUUCAAUUAAAGGGUAGACAGUUGCUAAAAAUAAAGCCUCUUUUGCAACCCAGAAUUCAUUGUUCAGUAUGAGUUUUGAUACAUAUGAGAAGGAAAAAA
Small nucleolar RNA from Myotis lucifugus (little brown bat), 124 nucleotides. Ensembl annotates it as small nucleolar RNA SNORA40. NCBI's taxonomy places the organism in Eukaryota, Metazoa, Chordata, Mammalia, Chiroptera, Vespertilionidae. The record is from Ensembl.